GGAAUUUUGGGCAAUGGGCGAAAGCCUGACCCAGCAACGCCGCGUGAGGGAUGAAGUAUUUCGGUAUGUAAACCUCGAAAGAAUGGGAAGAAUAAAUGACGGUACCAUUUAUAAGCUCCGGCUAACUACGUGCCAGCAGCCGCGGUAAUACGUAGGGAGCAAGCGUUGUUCGGAUUUACUGGGCGUAAAGGGCGCGUAGGCGGCGCGGUAAGUCACUUGUGAAAUCUCUGAGCUUAACUCAGAACGGCCAAGUGAUGCUGCUGUGCUAGAGUGCGGAAGAGGCAACCGGAAUUCUUGGUGUAGCGGUGAAAUGCGUAGAUAUCAAGAGGAACACCUGAGGCGAAGGCGGGUUGCUGGGCCGACACUGACGCUGAUGCGCGAAAGCCAGGGGAGCAAACG
RNAcentral lists this ribosomal RNA (399 nucleotides) under uncultured bacterium. Its description in RNAcentral is "bacterial SSU rRNA". It matches the Rfam family "Bacterial small subunit ribosomal RNA", at positions 358 to 774 of the family's 1533-position model. The record is from RNAcentral.